UCCACCUCUCACCUCUCUCUCCCCUCCUGCCUCCUUCUCUCCUCUCUCCUCUCCCUCCUCUCCUAGCUGCUCAUUCUGGACACAUGUGGCAUCAGAACAUCCCACAAAGAUCAUCCUGAGGAGGGACCCUCAGCCGCCCACUGAGCCUCUGGAAGCCUCUCCACCUCUCACCUCUCUCUCCCCUCCUGCCUCCUCCUCUCCUAGCUGUUCAUUCUGGACACAUGUGGCAUCAGAACAUCCCACAAGGAUCAUCCUGAGGAGGGACCCUCAGCUGCCCACUGAGCCUCUGGAAGCCUCUCCACCUCUCACCUCUCUCUUUCCUCCUCCCUCCUGCUCUGGCUCUUCUUUCUCUUCUGUCUCCUCUCCUAGCUCCUCAUUCUGUCCUCCUAGUCUCCUCUCUCGCCUCUCUCGCCUCUAUCCUCUCACCUCCUCCUCUAGCUCCUUGUCUCUGGACCAACCUGCUCCACCCCCUGAGCCUUCCAGUCCACCUGGGUUGUUUGGGAACGGACCUGAACUGCAGUGGGCGAAGAACGUGCGGUCCAACAUGGAGAGGAGGGAGCCAUACGACUCCAUGGGGCGUGUCAGAAGCGUUAGGCCUGAAGGUAAGUCUCCAGGUGAGUCAAUUUUUGAAUUCCUUUAUUAUCAGCAGUUAACACGUCAACAUUAUUCAUUUUAUUAUCCUUAAAUUGCUUUGAAUGAUUUUGUAUUGAAUUGAUUUACUUUGAAUUAGUUUGAAUGUAACUGAUUGAGGGACAGUGCAGUGUGAGAAUGGUUCUUGUUGCUGCACCAUGACUCAGGCAGGGUGUCUGCACAGAGCGAGUGUGAUCUGGGAGGGAUAGCGUGAACCUCCAACGUGUUUCGACCUCCCAGUGAAGCUGCUCUGUGACAGAGAAAGAAAAGGAUGGCGACACCAUGUCGAGGAGGUUCACAUGUACUGUCGACGCCCACCCUAGACCGACAGGAGUCUGCAGUGACAAGGGCCUCAUGGCAGGGGUCAGCUGUAGAAAGUAACUGCAGUAGUAGGUGUAGCUGGGUUAGAAAAGAAAUUACUGCAACAGGGAAGAAAUAAUUUAGGAAGAUAAGGGAGGAGAAAGAGAAGAGGAUGAAGGUAAGAUGAAACAUAUAGGAGGAGGAGGAGGAGGAGACCUUCUGAAGUAAAAGGUAAGUAUUUCAUGCUAUAAUCAGAUUUCAUACACUUAUUCAUUAUAUGUCUGUUUAUCUGGUUUCUAAGGUUUUUAGCUCAUCUGUUUGUCUUCUGUUUUUCUUUUAGAGAGAUGAUGAAAGUGGAGAGGAGAGGAGGGGAGGAUGGAGGGCAACAUGACAUGAAAACCCUCUCAUAUAAAAGAGAGAUGAUGAAAGAGGAGAGUGGAGGAGAGGAGAGGAGGAUGGAGGGCAACAUGAAGUGUAAACCCUCUCAUAUAGAAGAGGAGAAACAGUCAGAGAAGAGAUGAGGAAAAAAGACAUUAAAAAGAGGAGAGGAGAGGAGGAGGUGGAGGAGGAGGGCAACAUGACGUAAACCCUCUCAUAUAAAAGAGGAGAAACAAUGAGACAUGAGGAGAUGAGGAAAAAAGAGUAAGGAGAGGAGUGGAGAGGAGAGGAGAGGAGGUGGGAGGGCAAUAUGUCAUGUCAACCCUCUCAUGUAAAAGGUACAUAUGUCUUGUUAUUAUCAGAUUUUGUGCAGUGAUAAAUUAUACCUCUGUUUACCUCAUUCCUAAUUUUAGUUUUUUGUCGUUUUUUCUUUCAGAGAGAGGAGGAGGAGGUGGAGGUGGAGGUGGAGGAGGUGGAGCACAAUAUGAAGAGUGAACCAUCUCCAUCAAGAAGAAAAACAUUAUUUCACACAUGAAUAAUGGUCUGUUCACAUUUAUUCACUGAAAAUGUAACUAUUAUUCUCCCUUGUCUGCAUUUUUAGAAAGAGGAGAAGAGAAGACACAACUGAAGAGAAGAGAAAAAUCAGAGUGGAGGAGAGGAGAGGAGGAUGGAGGGCAACAUGAAGUGUAAACCCACUCAUUUAAAAGAGGAGAAACAGUCAGAGACAUUAAAAGAAGAAAAAGACUAAAAAGAAGAGAGGAGAAAAUGAAACAAGAAAAGGAGAGGAGGGGAGAGGAGGUGGGAGGGCAACAUAAAGUGUAAACCCUCCAAUGUAAAAGAGAGCUGCUGAAAGAGGAGGUGGAGAGGAGGUGGAGGACAUUAUGAAGAGUGAACACUCACAUAUAAAAAGGCUGCAGCUUUACCUGAUGUGGAAGAACUUGAGACUGGUCUGAAACGUUUGUGUUUUGCUUUGCAGCCAAGAAAUCUCUGAACUGCAGCUUCACAAACUACAAGUGAACCACGUUUCUCCAAAGAUUUUUGUCAUGAUCAAACUGUUCAAAAACAUGUGUUUGAAAUACAAAGUGACAACAAAAAGAAA
Long non-coding RNA from Lates calcarifer (barramundi perch), 2407 nucleotides. RefSeq lists it as uncharacterized. NCBI's taxonomy places the organism in Eukaryota, Metazoa, Chordata, Actinopteri, Centropomidae. The record is from RefSeq and is a predicted model, not a curated record. The transcript is spliced from 6 exons.